AUGAGAUUACAGUCAAGGGUGCCACGGUGGGGGGCACCCCACUGCAUCCCAGCCUGGCCAGCGGGGAGGGCGCCAUCGAUCCAGCUUUCUGGUCACAUGCUUCUUCCUAGAGGGACAAAGCCCCAAGGCAGUGAGGACUCACUCUGCCCCUGUGGCUCGGCUGGGCCCCACACUCCUGUCCCCGAGAAGCCCACUCAGGGCCCUGGAGGCGGGGGCACACCCCAGGUGGUUCCCUCCCGUCUUCAUAUGAGGUUCCAGGUGAGGGCCUUCCUGGAUGGAGGAUGGAGGAUGGAAGGCCAGGAGUCCCAGCUCCAGCCAGGCCACCCCUGGAGCAGCAGGAACUGGGACAGGGGAGUUUCUGGCUUGUGUGCUUGGCUGUUGCCCUGGCUCCAGCUGUUCCUGCUGCGCCUGCAGAGCCUCGUUCUCGCUGUGUCCUGGCUGCUGGGCCCCCGUCCUCGCCUGCCACUUCUCUCUCUCGGCACAGGACGCUCCCUGACUCAGCUGUCGGGGGGUUCUUCCACGCUCCCCGGGUGAUCCGAAUUGUUACAUCUUUGUGUUUUUGCAAGAAACAUUUCCCUCUUGCCAUGUCCCUGUCUUUCUGGCUCAGCUGUCUCUCUUGAAGGCCGCCUCCUCCCCUUACGUGGGGGCCGUGCCUCCCACAUCACACUGUAAAUGUCAGAGUUUUCCUCUUUCUCCAGAAAAUUAUCUUAAAAAAUUCUUCUGUGUCUUCAGAAUAAGGCUCCUUCUUCCGUGUUUCAUGCUCUUUCCCCAUAAUCCUGCACGCCCCUCCUUCUCCAAGGAAGGGCCGUCCGUUGAGACCCCAGUGGCCCCUCGUGAGCCCAGCAGAGCUGCCUCCUUGGUUUGGCUCAAUUCCCCCCAGUCUCCGUCUCACACGGCUGCCCUGUGAGCUCUUUGUGCAGGGGUGUGAAAGUCAGCCCCUCUGACCCCCACGGGCCCCCAGGGCCUGCUGGGUCUGGACAGACUCGGAGAACCAGUCCCUGCCCAUCUGCUGAGCACUGGUAGAGUUGUUGCAAACCCACUCUGGGCGUGGGCUGGUUCUGAGAAGGUUGGCUGUUCCUUUUCUGCAGGUUCCUGAUGUUCCUGACAGUGACUGAUCCCUGCAAGGGCCUCCGCGAGAGCUGUCAGGCACUGUGCAAGUGGGCGCAGCGUUGCCGUGGAGACCCGAGGAUCCCGGGCUCCAGGCUGCGUACCCUCCAGCCCAAUGCCCAGCCCUGCCCUGAGGAGAGAGCCAGGCACAGAGGGGUCGCGCCCCUGACGACUUGAUGGGAGGUCACCUUGCACUGCUUACCAGCAAGAUGUGGUAUCUAUUCC
Molecule: long non-coding RNA, 1332 nt
Filed under: Papio anubis (olive baboon)
Lineage: Eukaryota; Metazoa; Chordata; Mammalia; Primates; Cercopithecidae
Description: lncRNA (ENSPANG00000046575.1)
Source: RNAcentral